RNAcentral lists this ribosomal RNA (670 nucleotides) under uncultured bacterium. RNAcentral describes it as "bacterial SSU rRNA". It matches the Rfam family "Bacterial small subunit ribosomal RNA", at positions 9 to 694 of the family's 1533-position model. The record is from RNAcentral.
GAGUUUGAUCCUGGCUCAGGAUGAACGCUGGCGGCGUGCUUAACACAUGCAAGUCGAGCGAUGAAGUUUCCUUCGGGAAACGGAUUAGCGGCGGACGGCUGAGUAACACGUGGGUAACCUGCCUCAUAGAGUGGAAUAGCCUUCCGAAAGGAAGAUUAAUACCGCAUAACGUUGAAAGAUGGCAUCAUCAUUUAACCAAAGGAGCAAUCCGCUAUGAGAUGGACCCGCGGCGCAUUAGCUAGUUGGUGGGGUAACGGCCUACCAAGGCGACGAUGCGUAGCCGACCUGAGAGGGUGAUCGGCCACAUUGGGAUUGAGACACGGCCCAGACUCCUACGGGAGGCAGCAGUGGGGAAUAUUGCACAAUGGGGGAAACCCUGAUGCAGCAACGCCGCGUGAGUGAUGAAGGUUUUCGGAUCGUAAAGCUCUGUCUUUGGGGAAGAUAAUGACGGUACCCAAGGAGGAAGCCACGGCUAACUACGUGCCAGCAGCCGCGGUAAUACGUAGGUGGCAAGCGUUAUCCGGAUUUACUGGGCGUAAAGGGAGCGUAGGCGGAUGAUUAAGUGGGAUGUGAAAUACCCGGGCUCAACUUGGGUGCUGCAUUCCAAACUGGUUAUCUAGAGUGCAGGAGAGGAGAGUGGAAUUCCUAGUGUAGCGGUGAAAUGCGUAGA